Long non-coding RNA from Hirundo rustica (Barn swallow), 390 nucleotides. RefSeq lists it as uncharacterized. The transcript has 2 exons. Lineage: Eukaryota; Metazoa; Chordata; Aves; Passeriformes; Hirundinidae. The record is from RefSeq and is a predicted model, not a curated record.
GGGCUGCUGUCUCCAGCUCCUGGGGUGUGCACGCUGCUGCUGUGGCCUCUGGCCUGUGUCUGGGUCUCCAGGCUUGGUGGCAGAGCUGUCCUGUCAGUGUGGCAGUCUGUGGAGUGUGUCUGGUUCUGACCCUGCCCUGCCCUGCCGGCUCUCCCCUGAGCUUGGCCCCCAGGCCUGUGUCGUUGCUGUGAAUGUGCCUGAUGUUGGGACUUGUGGUUGAAGCUGCCCUGCUCUCCCCACCAGCUGUUUUGUGCCUGGUCCUGAUCCUGCCUCCCUGUCCUGCUGGAAGAAGUUGUGGGUUAGUUGAGAGAAGAGUCAACAAGCCAGGAUGCCCAAGUAAGGAAACAUCAGAUUAUGUCUUCUCCUCAGUGAUGUGGAGAUUAAAUGAUG